RNAcentral lists this ribosomal RNA (427 nucleotides) under uncultured bacterium. RNAcentral's name for it is "bacterial SSU rRNA". It matches the Rfam family "Bacterial small subunit ribosomal RNA", at positions 355 to 774 of the family's 1533-position model. The record is from RNAcentral.
UAGGGAAUAUUGGACAAUGGGGGCAACCCUGAUCCAGCCAUGCCGCGUGAGUGAAGAAGGCCCUCGGGUUGUAAAGCUCUUUUGUCCGGAAAGAAAAGCAUUCGGUGAAUACCCGGAUGUUCUGACGGUACCGGAAGAAUAAGCACCGGCUAACUUCGUGCCAGCAGCCGCGGUAAUACGAAGGGUGCAAGCGUUACUCGGAAUUACUGGGCGUAACGCGUGCGUAGGUGGUUGUUUAAGUCUGAUGUGAAAGCCCUGGGCUCAACCUGGGAAGGGCAUUGGAAACUGGGCAGCUAGAGUGCGGUAGAGGGUAGUGGAAUUCCCGGUGUAGCAGUGAAAUGCGUAGAGAUCGGGAGGAACAUCUGUGGCGAAGGCGACUGCCUGGACCAGCACUGACACUGAGGCACGAAAGCGUGGGGAGCAAACA